This 449-nucleotide long non-coding RNA is filed under the name Equus asinus (donkey). Its description in RNAcentral is "lncRNA (ENSEASG00005025934.1)". Lineage: Eukaryota; Metazoa; Chordata; Mammalia; Perissodactyla; Equidae. The record is from RNAcentral.
CUGGGCAUGACAACGCAGGACAGGGCCAGGGUGGUGGAGCUGUGGAUUCAUGUGGCCGAGGGGUGCCUAGGCCUCAGAAAUUUCUCAUCGUUCCACAUGAUCCUUUCUGCUCUGCAGAGCCCUGCCAUUAAGCGUCUCAAAGACACCUGGGGACAAGUAUCCAGGGAGAGAUCCUACACCUUUAAGAAGUGGUGCAGGGGAGAGCAGCACGUGAGCAUGAGACUGCUCCUGAAGGUAACCUGGGGCUGGAGAUCUGGGAGGAGGGGUGUGUGAGGGAGCCGGGAACAUCCUGAGGGCAUCCUAGGAACUGAGGCUAUGGUAAGGCCAUCCUGGGGUUCAGAGACCCCUGUGGAUGGGGCAGGAAGGAGAUGCCCACACGGCCACCCUCUGCCCUCUCCCCUCCACAUCUCAGUUUGGCUAUUGUUGGGACACACUCUGGGAGUGCAGAG